Cyprinus carpio (common carp) is the source of this 2967-nucleotide RNA transcript. It is a transcript of the gene named annexin A6, with no coding region annotated. The record is from RefSeq and is a predicted model, not a curated record. Lineage: Eukaryota; Metazoa; Chordata; Actinopteri; Cypriniformes; Cyprinidae.
CGCCGUGGACAUUACAUCAUAGCUGCUUAUCCUGAGCUGCGUCAUAGAAGAACAGCUGAUACAUGCACAGACGUUUCUCCGCAGGACCACUGACGAGAGACAACGGACCACCGUCAACCGGAGCUCGAGACUCCCUGAGAUUAAGGUUCAAGACUAUCAUUCCACUGGCAACCAGUAACUGAUCAAACAUGGGCAAAGAAUUCAGAGGUACAGUUGCAGAUCACCCUGACUUUGAUGCAGGCAGUGAUGCAGAGGCCCUGUAUGAUGCCAUGAAAGGCUUUGGAAGUGACAAGGAGGCCAUCUUAGAACUGAUUGCUUCACGAAGCAAUAGGCAGGAGAUACGUGCUGCCUACAAAUCACAGUUUGGGAAUGAUUUAAUUGAUGAUCUGAAAUACGAGCUGACAGGGAAGUUUGAACGUCUGAUUGUGGGUUUGAUGAGACCUCCAGCCUAUCAUGAUGCUAAAGAAAUCAAGGAUGCCAUUAAGGGAGCAGGAACAGAUGAGAAAUGUUUGAUUGAAAUUCUCGCUUCAAGAACCAAUGAGCAGAUUCAUAAUCUGGUGGCAGCAUACAAAGAUGCAUAUGACAGAGACCUUGAGGAGGAUGUUAUAGGGGACACAUCUGGACAUUUUAAGAAGAUGCUGGUUGUUUUGCUUCAGGGGACCAGAGAGGAAGAUGAUGUUGUUAGUGAAGACCUCGUGGAGCAAGAUGCUCAAGACCUGUAUGACGCAGGAGAGGCACAGUGGGGCACAGACGAGGCCAAAUUCAUCAUGCUGCUGGGAAACCGAAGUGUGACCCAUUUGCAGUUGGUUUUUGAUGAAUACCAGAAAAUUGCUGAGAAGUCCAUUGAGGACAGUAUUAAGAGUGAGCUCUCCGGAGACUUUGAAACACUGAUGUUGGCUGUCGUUCAGUGCAUCAGGAGUAAGCCCAUGUUCUUCGCCAGACGCCUUUACAAAUCCAUGAAGGGUCUGGGCACGGCUGAUAACACUCUGAUCCGCAUCAUGGUCUGCCGCUCUGAGAUUGACAUGCUGGACAUCAGAGAGUGCUUCAGACUGCGCUAUGAGAAAUCUCUGUAUAACAUGAUUCAGGAUGACACAUCCGGGGAUUACAAGCGCACCCUGCUGAAACUGUGUGGAGGAGAUGAUGAUAUUGCAGGGGAGUUCUUCCCAGAGGCUGCACAGAUUGCCUACAAGAUGUGGGAAAUCAGCGCCAUGACCAAAGUCCAGUUACGAGGAACUGUGCGACCAUACCAAAAUUUUGACCCUGCGAGUGAUGCUCAAGCUCUGAGAAAAGCAAUGAAGGGAUUUGGAACUGAUGAAGAUACGAUUAUUGACAUUGUGGCAAACAGGAGCAAUGCACAGAGACAGGAGAUCAGACAGACUUUUAAAUCUCUUUUGGGACGGGAUCUCAUGGCUGACCUAAAAUCAGAACUGUCCAAAAACCUCGAAAGACUCAUCCUGGGUCUCAUGAUGACUCCAGCAGAGUUUGAUGCUAAGAUGAUGAAGAAAGCCAUGGAGGGCGCAGGGACCGAUGAACAUGCAUUGAUUGAGAUCCUGGUCACUAGGAACAACCAGGAGAUUCAGGAGAUGUGCUCUGCCUAUCAGAAUGCUUAUAAAAAAAGUUUGGAGGAUGCCAUCGCAUCAGAAACAUCUGGGCAUUUCAAACGGAUCCUGAUAUCUUUGGCACAGGGAACCCGUGAGGAGGACCCAGCAGACAUGGCCAGGGCCUUAGAAGAUGCCCAGGAAUUGGCAGAUGCAUGCAAUGCAGACUCCGGUGACUUGGAGGACAGGUUCAUGAGUAUUCUGUGCACGAGGAGUUUUCCUCACCUGAGGAGAGUGUUCCAGGAAUUUGUGAGGUGCAGCAACAAAGAUAUCGAGCAGAUUAUAAAGAAGGAGAUGUCAGGAGAUAUUAAAAAUGCCAUGUUUGCUAUUGUGCGGAGUGUGAAGAAUCAGCCGUCUUACUUUGCUGACCGAUUGUACAAAGCCAUGAAGGGCCUGGGAACAGACGACAGGGCUCUGAUCCGUAUCAUGGUGUCCCGCUCCGAGAUUGACCUCUUCAACAUCCGCAAAGAGUUCAAGGAGACCCAUGACGCCUCUUUGCAUGAAUUCAUCCAGGCGUUGCACAUCCUCUUUUGGUUAAGUCGAGGGGAACAGAGUGUUUGACAGGUUCCUGCGGUGUACUCGCUCGACUCAGCUGUUUAGGAAUUCCCCCCUGCAUGCUUGACUUCCUCUCAGUGUGCUGAAUCUGAUUGGUGGAGAGAAUGGAGACAGGAAGUGUUCAAUAACAGGGUGACACAUCAGGAGACUAUCGUAAAAUCCUUUUGAUUCUCUGUGGAGGUGAGGACUAGAACAUUGUCUGUCGUCCGGGAUGUAUCACACAGGAUAUUCAUGCCAAGUAACCAGUGCACUGUGUCCCCAUUCAUUGUUUGUGAGUUUCUAGUGACAUACAGUCUUUGUGCCCUCUGCUGCCAUGCCAAUGCCAAAGCUAAUGACCUGUGCAGAAGCCACACCUAGUCCCAUUUUCUAAAAAUCGUGCGCGAAACACUUUUUUUUUUUUUUUUUACAGUUAAAAGCACUUUUUAUGGUGUUACCGUACUACUAGUGCUUUAUUUGUUACCCAACAUCCUGUUUAAAUUGAUUACCCCAGAAAUAAAAGGACGUGAUCGUGUUUUGAGUUUGUGUUGUUAGAUGGACACCAUUGUUGUUGUGUUUUAAUACCAAAAGUUGCAUUAAAUCUAGUACAGAAUGUGGUGAUAUGCUUCUGAACACAGUACCAAAAUUGUUGAUCAUACAAAAGAUCUGCACACUUGUUAUUCUCCUUUUAUUCAGAAAAAGUUCAAAGUGGCAACGUUUCGGUCAAAGACUGAAGUUUUAAUUAUCUGAUGUUUUUUUACACCUGGCCAAGAUGUGUGUACUUUGACUUUUUUCAUACAAAUGUAAACAAAUAAAAUGAAUGACUUGCGGUCACGUA